UGCAGUCGAGCGAACGGAUAAGGAGCUUGCUCCUUUGAAGUUAGCGGCGGACGGGUGAGUAACACGUGGGUAACCUACCUAUAAGACUGGGAUAACUUCGGGAAACCGGAGCUAAUACCGGAUAACAUUUAGAACCGCAUGGUUCUAAAGUGAAAGAUGGUUUUGCUAUCACUUAUAGAUGGACCCGCGCCGUAUUAGCUAGUUGGUAAGGUAACGGCUUACCAAGGCGACGAUACGUAGCCGACCUGAGAGGGUGAUCGGCCACACUGGAACUGAGACACGGUCCAGACUCCUACGGGAGGCAGCAGUAGGGAAUCUUCCGCAAUGGGCGAAAGCCUGACGGAGCAACGCCGCGUGAGUGAUGAAGGGUUUCGGCUCGUAAAACUCUGUUAUUAGGGAAGAACAAAUGUGUAAGUAACUGUGCACAUCUUGACGGUACCUAAUCAGAAAGCCACGGCUAACUACGUGCCAGCAGCCGCGGUAAUACGUAGGUGGCAAGCGUUAUCCGGAAUUAUUGGGCGUAAAGCGCGCGUAGGCGGUUUCUUAAGUCUGAUGUGAAAGCCCACGGCUCAACCGUGGAGGGUCAUUGGAAACUGGGAAACUUGAGUGCAGAAGAGGAAAGUGGAAUUCCAUGUGUAGCGGUGAAAUGCGCAGAGAUAUGGAGGAACACCAGUGGCGAAGGCGACUUUCUGGUCUGUAACUGACGCUGAUGUGCGAAAGCGUGGGGAUCAAACAGGAUUAGAUACCCUGGUAGUCCACGCCGUAAACGAUGAGUGCUAAGUG
RNAcentral lists this ribosomal RNA (783 nucleotides) under Staphylococcus sp. Y20-MSE-E14. Its description in RNAcentral is "bacterial SSU rRNA". It matches the Rfam family "Bacterial small subunit ribosomal RNA", at positions 56 to 822 of the family's 1533-position model. RNAcentral also lists the same sequence under 1 other name. Lineage: Bacteria; Bacillati; Bacillota; Bacilli; Caryophanales; Staphylococcaceae. The record is from RNAcentral.